GCUGGGUGCAUUGGUACAUGCCUGUAAUCCCAGCGACUUGGGAGGCUGAGGCAGGAGGAUCACAAGUUUGACACCAGCCUCAGCAACUUAGUGAGACCCUGUCUCAA
Molecule: small RNA, 107 nt
Filed under: Marmota monax (woodchuck)
Lineage: Eukaryota; Metazoa; Chordata; Mammalia; Rodentia; Sciuridae
Source: RNAcentral